AGAAAGUCUGUCUGUGUAGGACAUAGUACC
This 30-nucleotide non-coding RNA is filed under the name Cricetulus griseus (Chinese hamster). The record is from RNAcentral. Lineage: Eukaryota; Metazoa; Chordata; Mammalia; Rodentia; Cricetidae.